This 376-nucleotide ribosomal RNA is filed under the name uncultured bacterium. RNAcentral's name for it is "bacterial SSU rRNA". It matches the Rfam family "Bacterial small subunit ribosomal RNA", at positions 523 to 898 of the family's 1533-position model. The record is from RNAcentral.
AUACGUAGGGAGCGAGCGUUGUCCGGAUUUACUGGGUGUAAAGGGUGCGUAGGCGGCUGAACAAGUCAGGUGUGAAAACCAUCGGCUCAACUGAUGGAUUGCACUUGAAACUGUGCAGCUUGAGUGAAGCAGAGGCAGGCGGAAUUCCCGGUGUAGCGGUGAAAUGCGUAGAGAUCGGGAGGAACACCAGUGGCGAAGGCGGCCUGCUGGGCUUUAACUGACGCUGAGGCACGAAAGCAUGGGUAGCAAACAGGAUUAGAUACCCUGGUAGUCCAUGCCGUAAACGAUGAUUACUAGGUGUGGGUGGUCUGACCCCAUCCGUGCCGGAGUUAACGCAAUAAGUAUUCCGCCUGGGGAGUACGGUCGCAAGAUUAAA